GAUCUCCGAUAUCAGUGGCCUUGAACUUCUCCUUUGCACAAAGAAGAAAACAGAGGUAAGGAGUGGUGGGGCUAUCCCCAGAGCAGAGCAGAGAUGACAGUCUUUUGGCCCUCCCUCCUCCCAGGACUGUCCCUAUGAGUGAUGCUCCAUCCUUUCCCCCUCUGGAAGUUGUUGUCACUCAGCACCUGCCCACUGAGGAUCCAUGACUUAAAAUGGAACCCAGAGGAGUGAGGCAUAAAACCUCCUAAAAAGGGCUUCAGAGAACUGCCUUGCCUCCACCACAUAAGGACACAGCCAGACGUACAAAGGCAGCCAGGCCUUUCCAGGCCCUGAAUCUCCUGGCUCCUUGAUCUUGGACUUCCCAGCCUCCAGAACUCUGAGAAAUAAAUGUUGUUUAUAGGA
RNA transcript from Mesocricetus auratus (golden hamster), 402 nucleotides. RefSeq lists it as uncharacterized. The record is from RefSeq and is a predicted model, not a curated record. The transcript has 2 exons. Lineage: Eukaryota; Metazoa; Chordata; Mammalia; Rodentia; Cricetidae.